RNAcentral lists this transfer RNA (28 nucleotides) under Gambusia luma. RNAcentral's name for it is "partial tRNA-Gln". The record is from RNAcentral. Lineage: Eukaryota; Metazoa; Chordata; Actinopteri; Cyprinodontiformes; Poeciliidae. RNAcentral also lists the same sequence under 1 other name.
AGGAAGUGGUGUAGAGGAAGCACUAAGA